GAGUUUGAUCAUGGCUCAGGAUGAACGCUAGCGGCAGGCCUAACACAUGCAAGUCGAGGGGUAACAGGAAGUGCUUGCACUUCGCUGACGACCGGCGCACGGGUGAGUACCGCGUAUACAAUCUGCCUCAUACUAGGGGAUAGCCCGAAGAAAUUUGGAUUAAUACCCUAUAGUAUCUUUUUAAGGCAUCUUAUUAAGAUUAAAGGUUACGGUAUGAGAUGAGUAUGCGUUCUAUUAGCUAGUAGGUGUGGUAACGGCACACCUAGGCUACGAUAGAUAGGGGCCCUGAGAGGGGGAUCCCCCACACUGGUACUGAGACACGGACCAGACUCCUACGGGAGGCAGCAGUGAGGAAUAUUGGACAAUGGGCGAAAGCCUGAUCCAGCCAUGCCGCGUGCAGGAUGACUGCCCUAUGGGUUGUAAACUGCUUUUAUAUAGGAAGAAAAACUUUCUCGUGAGAAAGCUUGACGGUACUAUAAGAAUAAGGAUCGGCUAACUCCGUGCCAGCAGCCGCGGUAAUACGGAGGAUCCAAGCGUUAUCCGGAAUCAUUGGGUUUAAAGGGUCCGUAGGUGGACAAAUAAGUCAGAGGCGAAAUCCUGCAGCUCAACUGUAGAACUGCUUUUGAUACUGUUUGUCUUGAGUUAUUAUGAAGUGGUUAGAAUGUGUAGUGUAGCGGUGAAAUGCAUAGAUAUUACACAGAAUACCGAUUGCGAAGGCAGAUCACUAAUAAUUAACUGACACUGAGGGACGAAAGCGUGGGUAGCGAACAGGAUUAGAUACCCUGGUAGUCCACGCCGUAAACGAUGGUCACUAGCUGUUUGGACUCCGGUCUGAGUGGCUAAGCGAAAGUGAUAAGUGACCCACCUGGGGAGUACGUUCGCAAGAAUGAAACUCAAAGGAAUUGACGGGGGCCCGCACAAGCGGUGGAGCAUGUGGUUUAAUUCGAUGAUACGCGAGGAACCUUACCAGGGCUUAAAUGUUAGGUGACAGAUCUAGAAAUAGAUUUUUCUUCGGACACUUAACAAGGUGCUGCAUGGUUGUCGUCAGCUCGUGCCGUGAGGUGUCAGGUUAAGUCCUAUAACGAGCGCAACCCCUGUUGUUAGUUACCAGCGAGUAAUGUCGGGAACUCUAGCAAGACUGCCAGUGCAAACUGUGAGGAAGGUGGGGAUGACGUCAAAUCAUCACGGCCCUUACGUCCUGGGCUACACACGUGCUACAAUGGUAGGUACAGAGAGCAGCCAAUGCGCGAGCAUGAGCAAAUCUAUAAAACCUAUCUCAGUUCGGAUCGGAGUCUGCAACUCGACUCCGUGAAGCUGGAAUCGCUAGUAAUCGGAUAUCAGCCAUGAUCCGGUGAAUACGUUCCCGGGCCUUGUACACGCCGCCCGUCAAGCCAUGGAAGUUGGGAGUGCCUGAAGUCCGUUUCCGCAAGGAUCGGCCUAGGGUAAAAUCGAUAACUAGGGCUAAGUCGUAACAAGGUAACC
RNAcentral lists this ribosomal RNA (1482 nucleotides) under uncultured marine bacterium. RNAcentral describes it as "bacterial SSU rRNA". It matches the Rfam family "Bacterial small subunit ribosomal RNA". The record is from RNAcentral.